Molecule: non-coding RNA, 98 nt
Organism: Acanthosepion pharaonis
Lineage: Eukaryota; Metazoa; Mollusca; Cephalopoda; Sepiida; Sepiidae
Source: the annotation of a GenBank genome assembly
AUUGAAACACCAGUUCCCAUACAUUCACUGAAGUUAAGCAACACCGAGCCUGGUCAGUAGCAAGAUGGGUGACCAUUUGAGAAUACCAGUUGCUGUAA